CCUACGGGAGGCUGCAGUGAGGAAUAUUGGUCAAUGGCCGGAAGGCUGAACCAGCGAUGCCGCGUGAAGGUCAGAGCCCUAUGGUCUGUAAACUUCUUUUUUGCGGGAACAAUGAUAUUCACGUGUGUCCAUACGAGGGUACCGUAAGAUUAAGCAUCGGCUAACUCGUUGCAAGCAGCCGCGGUAAUACGGGCGAUGCUAGCGUUAUCCGGGUUUGUGGGGUUUGAGGGGUGCGUAGGCUGUGAGGUAAGUCAUCGGUGAAAUGCCCCCGCUCAACGGGGUGAAGUGCCAGUGAUACUGUAUUGCUGGAAUGCAGAUGCGGUAGGAGGAAUGUGUGGUGUAGCGGUGAAAGGCAUAGAUAUCACACAGAACACCGAUGGCGAAGGCAUCUCACGAAUCUGUGAUUGACGUUGAUGCACGAAAGCGUGGGUAUCAAACAGGAUUAGAUACCCGGGUAGUC
This 460-nucleotide ribosomal RNA is filed under the name uncultured bacterium. Its description in RNAcentral is "partial 16S ribosomal RNA". It matches the Rfam family "Bacterial small subunit ribosomal RNA", at positions 338 to 795 of the family's 1533-position model. The record is from RNAcentral.